This 476-nucleotide ribosomal RNA is filed under the name uncultured bacterium. Its description in RNAcentral is "bacterial SSU rRNA". It matches the Rfam family "Bacterial small subunit ribosomal RNA", at positions 328 to 793 of the family's 1533-position model. The record is from RNAcentral.
UCAGUCGACUCCUACGGGGAGGCAGCAGUGGGGAAUAUUGCACAAUGGGGGAAACCCUGAUGCAGCCAUGCCGCGUGUGUGAAGAAGGCCUUCGGGUUGUAAAGCACUUUCAGUAGGGAGGAAGGUAGUGUAGUUAACACCUGCACUAUUUGACGUUACCUACAGAAGAAGCACCGGCUAACUCCGUGCCAGCAGCCGCGGUAAUACGGAGGGUGCGAGCGUUAAUCGGAAUUACUGGGCGUAAAGCGCAUGCAGGCGGCCUGUUAAGUCAGAUGUGAAAGACCCGGGGCUUAACCUCGGAAUUGCAUUUGAAACUGGCAGGCUAGAGUCUUGUAGAGGGGGGUAGGAAUUUCAGGUGUAGCGGUGAAAUGCGUAGAGAUCUGAAGGAAUACCAGUGGCGAAGGCGGCCCCCUGGACAAAGACUGACGCUCAGAUGCGAAAGCGUGGGGAGCAAACAGGAUUAGAUACCCUGGUAG